AAGUCGUAACAAGGUCUCCGUUGGUGAACCAGCGGAGGGAUCAUUACAGAGUUAUCUAACUCCCAAACCCAUGUGAACUUACCAUUGUUGCCUCGGCAGAACCUACCCGGUACCUACCCUGUAACGAGCUACCCUGUAGCGAGUUGCCCGGAACCGUACUGUUUGGCGGGCAUCUGCCGGUGGACCUCUAAACUCUUGUUAUUUAUAGUAAUCUGAGCGUCUUAUUUUAAUAAGUCAAAACUUUCAACAACGGAUCUCUUGGUUCUG
Molecule: unclassified non-coding RNA, 267 nt
Filed under: air metagenome
Description: partial contains small subunit ribosomal RNA, internal transcribed spacer 1, and 5.8S ribosomal RNA
Rfam family: Eukaryotic small subunit ribosomal RNA (bases 1-46)
Source: RNAcentral